GGGGAUGUAGCUCAGAUGGUAGAGCGCUCGCUUAGCAUGCGAGAGGUACGGGGUUUCAUUCCUC
Molecule: transfer RNA, 64 nt
Filed under: Ipomoea nil (Japanese morning glory)
Lineage: Eukaryota; Viridiplantae; Streptophyta; Magnoliopsida; Solanales; Convolvulaceae
Rfam family: tRNA
About the family: Transfer RNA (tRNA) molecules are approximately 80 nucleotides in length. Their secondary structure includes four short double-helical elements and three loops (D, anti-codon, and T loops).
Source: Rfam by way of RNAcentral